GCUGAACUCAUUUACAUUUUCACUGAAAGUUCAUAAAUGUGCCUUUUUCUCCACAACCUCAGGAGCAUCUGCUGUGUUUGGACUUUUUCACAGUAGCCAUUCCAGCUAGUGUGAGAUGGUAUCUCAUUGUGGUUUUGAGUUGCAAUUCUCUGAUGAAGAGGGAUGUGGAGCAUUUUUUCAUAUGUUCGUUGGUCACUUCUAUGUCUUCUUCUGAGAAGUGUUUGUUCAUGCCUUUGCCAACUCUAUAAUAGAGUUAGCUUGUUCUUAUUUUUCCAGUUCUUCUAGAUGUGACAUCAGAUAGUUAAUUUGAGAUCUUUCUAACUUUGGAGGUAGGCUUCUCGACAUUUCCUCUUAACACUCUUUUUUGCUGCAUCUCAGAGAGUGUGGUAUGUUGUGUCUCUCCUUUCAUUUAUUUCAAAUAAUAUUUUGAUUUUGCCCUUAAAUUGAUUGUCUACCACCAAAUCUUUCUGGGGAAAGUUGUUUAAAUUGGGUGUAGUUUUGUGGUUUUGAGAGAUCUUUUUGAUGUGCUACUGGAUUCAUUUCUAUUGCUGCUGGGAUUAACUUCCAUUUUUAUUCCACUGUACUCUGAGAGUAUGGCUGGUAUGAUUUUGAUUUUUUAAAAUAACUUAAAUUUUUUUUAAUCUAUUAAAUCACCAAGUCCUGGAACAGGUUGUGUUAGCCCUUGAGGCAUUCAUCCAGCACUGUUUCAGAGAAAUCUCCAUUUCACUCUAUUCCUAUAUAUUAGUUAUUAAAAAAUACAUAAACCAGACUACUGCAAAAACAAGUUGACCUCUUUGUGUUCCUUGAACACAGUAGUGAAGGACCCCCCUGACUGGGCCUCAUGCCAAACAACUCAUUACAAAAAGAGCUAGAGACUCAGACUACGGGAAAGCAUCACAAGUCCUCUCCUUGUCUGUACACGGAUGGCUGGCCGAUUCUGGAGCCCAGGCUGUCGCUUCCCGCUGUGGUGAUGAAUCAGUCCUUCAUAGUCCGGCCCGCUGCUAAUCUCCACUAAUCUGCAAGCUGUUGGUGAUUGGCACA
Molecule: long non-coding RNA, 1041 nt
Filed under: Callithrix jacchus (white-tufted-ear marmoset)
Lineage: Eukaryota; Metazoa; Chordata; Mammalia; Primates; Cebidae
Description: lncRNA (ENSCJAG00000082922.1)
Source: RNAcentral